Molecule: ribosomal RNA, 253 nt
Filed under: uncultured bacterium
Lineage: Bacteria
Description: partial 16S ribosomal RNA
Rfam family: Bacterial small subunit ribosomal RNA
Source: RNAcentral
UACGUAGGUGACGAGCGUUGUCCGGAAUUAUUGGGCGUAAAGGGAGCGCAGGCGGUUGGAAUAGUCUGAUGUGAAAGCCCACGGCUUAACCGUGGAAGGUCAUUGGAAACUGUCCAACUUGAAUGCAGAAGAGGUAAGUGGAAUUCCAUGUGUAGCGGUGAAAUGCGUAAAUAUAUGGAGGAACACCAGUGGCGAAGGCGACUUACUGGUCUGUAAUUGACGCUGAGGCUCGAAAGCGUGGGUAACGAACAGG